UACGGAGGAUGCGAGCGUUAUCCGGAUUUAUUGGGUUUAAAGGGUGCGUAGGCGGUAUUUUAAGUUAGUGGUAAAACGUCGGGGCUUCACCUUGAUUGGCCAUUAAAACUGGAGUACUAGAGUACAGACGAGGUAGGCGGAAUAAGUUAAGUAGCGGUGAAAUGCUUAGAUAUAACUGAGAACCCCGAUAGCGAAGGCAGCUUACCAGACUGUUACUGACGCUGAAGCACGAGAGCGUGGGUAGCGAACAGG
This 252-nucleotide ribosomal RNA is filed under the name uncultured bacterium. Its description in RNAcentral is "partial 16S ribosomal RNA". It matches the Rfam family "Bacterial small subunit ribosomal RNA", at positions 524 to 776 of the family's 1533-position model. The record is from RNAcentral.